Ictidomys tridecemlineatus (thirteen-lined ground squirrel) is the source of this 6271-nucleotide long non-coding RNA. RefSeq lists it as uncharacterized. Lineage: Eukaryota; Metazoa; Chordata; Mammalia; Rodentia; Sciuridae. The record is from RefSeq and is a predicted model, not a curated record.
CGUUCCCCCGCUCGGCCAUAAGGAGGUGCUGUAGUACUCCGAGGCCUUGACUGGGGCAGCUGCUCAUCGAACUUUGCAACCUUGAAUGUAGUAGACGCCAGCACUGGGGCCCCUUUGUGUUGAGAAAAGGACUUUGACCUGAGCCGAUGGGGCCUCCAAGAAUAGUAAUGCCCCGCCUCCUACGAAUUCCGAAUCCUGUCCUCUUGGCUGCGGUCUGAAGGGAAGCCCCGCCCACUGCCCGUCUCGGGCUCCUCCUGAUGGGGGAGCAGGCUUGGAGCAGGACCAGGACGAGCCCUGUGCAAGACCUCGCCUCUUCUUAAAUCCGCUCCGCAGUGCGGGACCGCUCCCUCAAAGGUCCGCGUCUGCGCCGCCAGCCCCUUCCCCGCCCGGCGCCUGAGAGGAGAGAUAGGUAGCGCCACAGCAAGUCCAUCUAUGGCAACGGAGACUACCAGCCUUCUGCAGUCUGCGCUGGGCUCACCUGUCUGGGAGUCCGUCGGCCCAGUAGGUCGGCGGCCUCCCUCCUUCCUGGAGUGAACUUCUCCAGCCAGGAUACUUUCACCAGCUGCUGCCCGCUAGGCAGCCCGCUGGCGACUUGAUAAACCCCAUUCCCUCCCACCAGCUCCCGCCUCCCAUUCCAGCCUUUUCUCCUCACUUCCUGCUGCCCCUCUGAGAGGAAAAGGCCAGGAAAGGCGCGGGGGAGGAGAUUGCCUUGACCCUGUUUUCCUCUGGCUUGCUCUCCUGGCUGGCUGCCCUCCCCACCCUUCUCCUGCAGGAUCUGGCCUCACCAGCUGUGCCAGGUGACAGGAAGGCUAUGAGCCUCCAGGAUCAGGAGUCAGUCUCCCCGAGGCCCACAAUUUCCUUAACUCUCCUCACCAACUUUUCCUUGGGGUUUGGGCUCAUUCUCAUAUAGUAGGGUGUGAGGAGGUACAGGCCUCGGUCUUUUGGGAGAGUCAAACUAUCUGGGGGGUGUUCAACUGAUGGCCUCCUACAGCAGGUGCCAAAAAAGGGAACCAAUCCUGGGAGAUGGGGGAGAGAGUUGGGGGAACUUCCGGGAGCUGGGUCAAUUUUUUUCUUUUUUUUUCCACCAAGAGCAGAAGUGUCUCAAGUGUGACAGAGAGGACAAUACUUGAUGUGUGUGACUGUGGGAUAGGGGUGGGGCAGGGCCUGCAGAGUGCUAUCCAGCUGGAGGACAUUCCUGGGGAGAUUUCACUGAGUCCACUACAGAGUGGCUCUUUGCCAAAGUGGAGAGAGAAGCGGGGUGUUUCUUUGGGAGGGGACGUUCAUGUGGCUGGCUUCACCUCUCCAAUGCACAGGGCCCCUCUCCUGGCUGUGUGGGAGUCUGGGGGAGGUGAGUGCAUAAUCUGGAGGCUGGCUGUGAGGACCCAGGAGUCCAGGAUAUGACAAGAGUGGGUGCAGUGUCCCUGUACCACUGUGCUGGCUUCAGAAGGGACAGAGGCCUAGGAAGCUACCAGGGUGGGGACCCCUGGGAAAACAAAGGCCGGACCAGACUGUCCCAGGGCAGGGACACUUCCUCAAGCUGUCAGCAGGAAGGAAGUGAGCACAGCCCAGUGGGAGGGAGUGGGGAAGCACUGCCUGACUCCCAUUGUUUCCAGCUUUGGGGUCAGCUGAGAAGGCUGAGCACAGGGAGUUCCUUCAGGCUGGGAUAAUGAUGGUGGGAGAUAGAAUGCUGUUUGUUAUGGGAGAGUGCUGGCCUUUGAACAGACAGUAGGGUGGAGUGGAGGGUGACAGGGCCUUAGGUUUGGCAUCUUAAGGGGAAUGGGAAGACAGCUCACAGAACUUCAAGUCCAGGCUGCACAGAGUGAUCCUACUCCAGAUGUGACAAAUUCAAGCCUCUGAAAGACUGGUAGGCCAGUUUCCCAAACCUAGAAGCCUGGGUCCUUGAAUUUCCCCCUUCUUAACUGGGAGUUGAACUGAUGGCCUAGCAGAAAACCUGCUUCACAGCAGGCCCUGUAGGCAGAAUGUUCACAGGCAAGCCAGGUGUGGUGGUGUUAUUCAGGAGGCUGUAAUCACAUCCAUUCAGGAGACUGAGGUAGGAAGAUCAUAAAUUCAAGGCCAGCUUAGGCAAUUUAGCAAAAACCUGUUUUUUUUUUUUAAUGGACCAGUAAUAUAGUUUUAUGGUAGUAUGUUUAUAUAAUAUGCAAGAGGCCCUGAGUUCAAUCCCUAGUGUGUAUGUGUGUGGUGGUGGUGGUGGUGGUGGUGGUGGUAGUGGUGGGGAGUCUAUAGCACAGGCAGCAGAGAACAGAAGGAAGUAUUGAAGGUUGGAAAGGAAGUCCAGAGCUCACUCUCCCAGUGGUGGUCUGGGAGAAGAAGCAGAUGAAGUUUAUAUAUGCCUGGCAGUAUACUGUCCAUGCAUGUCUGGGCCUUUUUUUAAGUCCUUGGGGCUCAGGAUAUCAAUUCACUUGAGGUCAGCUAGCAAUAUUGGGACCAGAACUAUCUAGGGUCAUACUCUCACCUUAGGUCAGGUGGGACUAAUUCCUAGUGAAGCAACACUACAACCUCUGAUUCCAGGGAUUUCCACCGCUCUGAACACAAUAAGACAGGUAAGUAGUACCCGCAUCCUGACAGGCCCAGUAUGAAUACACGGCCACCUGCUGGCCACAGCUGGAGUUGCCACAGUUAGAGCUCAGGCUUUUUCUAGGUCCAUGCAGGAAAUGGUAAGCCUGCCAGAGUCCUGGGCCCAGGCCUACCUGUUGAUUCCAGAAAGUAGUCUAGACACUGUCCAGAGGAUGCCAUACUCAUUUGCAGGAUCUACAAAUAAUUUUAUUGAAAUUGAACAAAUAACACAACAGUCUUCAUAUGCUGGGGACCACCCUCCCCAAGCCAUUUUCCAUACUCUAGAAGCACAGAUUUUGCACAAUAAGAAUUAAAAAAAAAAAAAAAGUAAUUUCUAUAUAGAAAUCAGACUCUGUCCCAACAUCAUCAUAGACUAGACUAUUUACAAACCUUCACAUUUUAAGUAUUCCUUUUAUGUAAAACAUAAACCCUUCCUUUUUGUGUCUACCAAGGGGAUCCAGUACUUUCCCUUAAAUGAUACUGAAGGGGUGAGGAUACUGUAGGGGAAGGGUGGUGGGCUCCUUAUAGCUAAUCACACCAGCCCUAGUGUGUUGUUCCUUACCACAGGGUAGUAGACAGUUCGCUCCCAAGUGGUGUGGGGGGCUGAUACAAAGAAUGGGUAGCUUGGGGCAACUCCCCAUAUGCACAGGCAUCCACAGCCCAUCCUGACCCUGGCCUGCACUCUCUCAAAUAGGGGAAGGAUAAACAAUUAAUUGCAGUGGGUAAGGAUCACUCCAGCCCUGGGUGAAGGGAGAAGCCUCUCACAACAGUCCCCAUUUCUAUUAACUGCCAGCAAACUGUCCAUCUGAAAGUGGGAACAAAUGGCAGGUAGGUGGGAAGAAUCAGGCUGGUGCUGCCCCCAGCCUCUGUCCAAUACAGGAGGAAUCGAGGUAGCAAAUGGCUGAAAUGCUCCAACUAGGGGGUACGGAAAGUGAGGGGAAAGGAAGUUCUCUUUUGUGUAAAGCCCCCAUAGCCCAGGGGCUGGAAGAAGGCAGACUUUAUUUGUAAAGUGCUGUAGCUUCUAGCAGGGCUUGGCCCUGGGAAAGCUUGGAAGGAAGCAGGCCAGGCAAGGAACCAGGAACCAGGCAUUCCUGACUGGCAUAUGCCCUGCCAUGUUUCUUGCAGGGGUGGCUGGGGAGGGUGGGCUGGUAAAUCUGCCAUUAGCCUUCACCAGUCACUAACCACCUCCUGUCCACACACAAACCAAUAUACAAUUAACACCGAGGGACUGCCCUGCUCACAGCCAAAGGUUCUGGGCCAGUGGAGUUUAUUCAGGGUUGUGGCCUCGGCCUGGGCUCCUCAAUGGAAACCACACCUCAAGUCUGGGAGUUUCUUGCUGAGGCAGUCGGUGUUUGUGUAUGCCAUCUCCCAGGCUCACACCUCGUAGAGAAUCACAGGGAAAUCCACAUGGAGGCGGGGGGGAUCCAGCUUCACGAAGCCCUGCCAUGGAAACAAAGGCUAUGAGGGUCAACUCAGGGUGUCUACUUCAGGAAGCUUCCUGAUCCUCCUAGCUCCUCCCCCAGUAGACCCCACUUGGGUCUACCUUUACAUACUUGAUGAAGGUUCUAUGACCUCUACCAAUCCCUCACCUGAGGAAUCAGAUUCUUAUGCACCCGCCUCAGUUUGGCCCGCUUCUGCCCAUUCUUGGUGACGAUUGUCUCUUCGUAGAACUCAUGAGCCAGAUCCCCAUCCUCGUCAUAGAACAUGGAGCUGUGUAGAGGAAGAAGAGAACAGGCUGGGCUUGAGCCCCACACCUGGUCAUGGCAAAUGCCACAGAUCACAGGGAAGUGUACCCAACCCCAACUGGGGAGGAACAAUCUUGGUGGGAAGAAGAGAGGACACUACAGCUGGAGAAUCCUUUUGCUUAGGUUUACGGUCUACUAGAAGGAACCGGGGAGCGGAACAUUGGCUAGUGUUACUCUGUUAUACCCUCAAGAAGAGAACCCAUACCACAGCAUACUAUCCAGGCAACCGAAGUUAAUUUCCAUUACUGAUCUGUUGUGUGAGAACAGCCAUUCCAAUAUCAGUCCCUUCAUCCAGGACUUAGAGAGCGGGCAGGGUGGUAGCAUGGGCAUGUUGGUUUCACUCCAGAAGACAACUGGCCUAGUGCCAAAGAUUGUGAGCAGAUGUUUUGAUCUAGGAAGGAACCUAAAAGGAGGAAGACUGCAUCCCUGCUUCAAGUGGCUGGUGCAGUCAAAUUUCCACUGUUGGAUCUCCUGGUAUCUACAGCCAAAUCUCCAUCAUAGGGAGUGCCCAUCCACAUGAGGUCAUGCUGAUGCUAUUGUGUGGAGAACCUGGGGUUUAGGUCAGCACUCCACAUCUGGAGAAUAUAAAGGAGUGAGGAUCCUGCCGUCCACCCUUCGCCCCCUCAUACUCAACACUGGGGCCCUACCCUGCUUUCCCAGUCACUACUCAGAAGUCCAACCUUACUACUAUGGGGGAAAGGGAUGAAGCCUAAUCAGUUAUUCUUCCAUUGGAAGAACUGGGGGGAAGAGGAGGAGGGUAAAAGCCUUCAAUUUGCGAACUAAGUUUGAAGAGAUGCACAAAAGAGGUCAGGAGAUAUCACAAAGGCCCUAUCUUAGCUUUACUGUGGGGCGUGCCUGCCCAGAGACAAGCCUAAGAUCUUGUACCCUUCUCUAGAGAGACCUUUAGAGCAGCCAGGCCUCCAGGAAUCUACUCCCGAUUUUCCCCACCCUUUGCUUGGAUGGGGACCCGAAAGACCGAAGUCGUCCUAACUGGGGUGUAGGGGGUCGGGUGACAGGAGGUCUCGGUGGUGUGGGGUACCCGGCCGCCUGCCUGUCCUCCCAGAAGCAGAGCCCACGCCCUUACCCGCGGCGCGUGAAUACGAAGGGGGGCACCGGGCGGCCUCGAGGCCGCACCAAAGCUUGUUCACUGCCCGCUGCCUCCGAGCCGCCGCCCCCUGUUGUAGAGGUGAAGGGCCAAAGGCCCCGAGCUUUGGAGCCGCUGGCGCCCAUGUCAGGGCCGCCAGCGCAUGGCGGACCCCGCGGCCGCUGCGCUCUCACAGUGCAGUAGGCUCUAUCAUGCCCUGCCCCAGCCUCCGCUUGCAGGUGCUGCCGCUGCCGCCGCCGCCGCCUUCCGCAGGCUCUUCUGUCUCCACGGAAACCUCACUUCCGCUUCCGCACGCUGCCCUCUUUGAUUGGCUGCAGCGCUCGUCGGUCCGUGGGGCAGAGCCAAUGGCUAUCCUCAGAUACUGGGCAUCCCAGCAUGCUCUGCAAGACCUCAGGUCCCGGCAGGCCACGCUCUCGCCAGCUGGGACAGCUCCCUCCCAGUAGAGCUGUGACAGCGCUGUUCUCUUGGCUUCUUCGGCGUACUGGUUGCCAUGUACGGCAUUUCCAACGUCCCAGAUCUCCAGAACUCAAGCCCAGUGGGGCCUCCUCAACUCAACCACUUUGAACCAGCACUUUAGGACCUGACCCAGGCCAGGCUGUGGAGUACUUGUCUGGCUUCUAUUUUCACAAUGGUGUUUUGUGGUGGUUACCAUCAUAUGUAAAGAAAUGGAGCCCAAGGACAAUUAAGGAACUGGCCAAAAUGUCUUAUAGUUACACUGAGGUAUUUAGAACUUCAAUGUUCUUUCCAAAUUCAACCUGAAUGCAUGCUUCACGAAAACAAGAAUUCUAAAUGGCUGUCCCUUCAUGUCUAGUCCAUAGCAGCUGAUGAAUAAAAACAACUUCUCUCA